UCGUAACAAGGUUUCCGUAGGUGAACCUGCGGAAGGAUCAUUACUGAGUGCGGGCUGCCUCCGGGCGCCCAACCUCCCACCCGUGACUACCUAACACUGUUGCUUCGGCGGGGAGCCCUCUCGGGGGCGAGCCGCCGGGGACUACUGAACUUCAUGCCUGAGAGUGAUGCAGUCUGAGUCUGAAUAUAAAAUCAGUCAAAACUUUCAACAAUGGAUCUCUUGGUUCCGGCAUCGAUGAAGAACGCAGCGAACUGCGAUAAGUAAUGUGAAUUGCAGAAUUCAGUGAAUCAUCGAGUCUUUGAACGCACAUUGCGCCCCCUGGCAUUCCGGGGGGCAUGCCUGUCCGAGCGUCAUUGCUGCCCAUCAAGCCCGGCUUGUGUGUUGGGUCGUCGUCCCCCCCGGGGGACGGGCCCGAAAGGCAGCGGCGGCACCGUGUCCGGUCCUCGAGCGUAUGGGGCUUUGUCACCCGCUCGAUUUAGGGCCGGCCGGGCGCCAGCCGACGUCCAACCAUUUUUCUUCAGGUUGACCUCGGAUCAGGUAGGGAUACCCGCUGAACUUAAGCAUAUCAAUAA
RNAcentral lists this unclassified non-coding RNA (572 nucleotides) under Aspergillus protuberus. RNAcentral describes it as "sequence contains 18S rRNA gene, ITS1, 5.8S rRNA gene, ITS2, 28S rRNA gene". The stretch from base 200 to 353 matches the Rfam family "5.8S ribosomal RNA". The record is from RNAcentral. RNAcentral also lists the same sequence under 2 other names. Lineage: Eukaryota; Fungi; Ascomycota; Eurotiomycetes; Eurotiales; Aspergillaceae.